This 2304-nucleotide unclassified non-coding RNA is filed under the name Leishmania donovani. Its description in RNAcentral is "gene:LdHU3.32.4320(CDS-product:dynein_light_inedi ate_chain_putative)". Lineage: Eukaryota; Euglenozoa; Kinetoplastea; Trypanosomatida; Trypanosomatidae. The record is from RNAcentral.
CUGCGAUCUCGGACAGCUUCUUCCCUUCCUCGUCUCGUCUCCAUUCCUGUGCACAUUGUACUACUUCUUUCUCGGCUCACUCACCGGCCCGGCGACUACGAAAAGAGGAAUAGAGGAGGCACACACACACACACACACACACACACACACACACACACACACACACGUGCGCGCAUCAACAGUGGCGUGGCGGCAUUUUUCCCGCUUGUUCUCCCUCAGUCACAUACGCCCUCCCUCUAUUCUUCCUUUGUACCUGGCGUUUACUGUGUUUUAUGUUGUGAAGUCGGCGCGACAGCUCUCACCACAGCAGGAGUUGAGAACCGAAGGAGGGAUGCCCGGCUCACCGGUGGAUAGAAAGCCUGAGGCCUCGAGAAACGGUGGGCAGAAGGGUGCCGCUGAGCAUCUGCAGCCGCCGCGCAGGCCUUCAAAGACGCCGUCUGAAGAAGGCGCCGAGUCGCCCCUGCGGCAGUCGCAGGAGCUCUCCGAGACCCCGACCACUGCCGCCACCGGCACCAGUGCGAGCAUUGUCAUCGAUCCCACAAAGGAUCUCUGGCAGAACAUCACGCGAAAUGUCAAGGACGCUAACGUCGAGCAGACGGAGACGAGCCUGGUCAUGGUCGGAGCCUCUGGCAGCGGCAAGACGACUCUUCUCCACCGCAUCUAUACCUCUUUUCAGAGCAGCUCGAGUGGAUCUGGCCCUAAGAGGGUAAAGGCGACGACGGCGCUGGACUACAGCUUCGCCCGCCGAUCGGAGCGCAACGUGGCGCCCGUGGCACAUUUCUGGGAGAUCGCGCAAGGGACGCAGUUCUCGCAGCUGCUGGACAUUGUGUUGACGCCGGAGAACGUGCACGCCGUGGCGGCGGCGGUGGUGGUGGACGCGAGUGAAGAAGGGCUGCCGGUGGCAUGGGAGACAGCCACGUACUGGUUGCGCCGGCUCGACCAGCGCGUCAGCGAUAUUUCGCAGCGCAUGAAGGCGAAGGGGUCGACCACGCCAGCGAAAAUCCUGACCCGUGCGCAGAAGGCUAUCGGGCUCGACCAUCCAGAUCUGAAGCGCAUGCGACUCAGCGGGAUUCCGACGGUGCUUGUCGUCAACAAGAUCGACGCGUUCCGUGGCGACAUGCAGCAAUUGAAACUCUUGUGCCGUAGCAUGCGCUACCUCGCCCACCUGUACGGCGCCCACGUCGUCUUCACCAGCGAGCAGGAGAGCGUGCGAUGGCGCGCGCUGAUGAACUUCACUCUCUUUCAAGCCCCGUUCGACCCCAAGUACUUGCAGACAGAUCCGGAGCGGAGUGCCGUGUUGCUGACGGUCGACCGCGACAGUUUCUUGGACAUUGGCGACCCCGAUGUGAGUCGGCUCGGCGGCAGCGUCAGUACCGGCGACGCGGAACUGGAUCGCUGGAAGGCGCCCUUUGACGAGGCGUUUCCGCCAAAGAAGCUGAACGAGGAGGACAAGGUAGUGGACGAUCCUUUCAUCCGCCGCCUGUACGACACAGCGGAGGGCGGCUUCGGCGAUCCGGUGAUCGACGCCUUGCGCAAGCAGAAGGAUGAGGAGCUGGAGCAGUACCGCAAGAAGAGCAGCAACGCCGCCAACGCCAGCAAGGCCAAGUGAGGCGCUGCUGGGAAAGGUUAAAAAGGACAGAGGGGCGUGUGCGGCGCUUGUCGGCGGUACCGCUGCUAAGUUUCUCCUCUCCCCCCUCCCCAAAACAAAGAGCAGACAAAGGCGCGGCUGUGUGGAGUUGGUGGCACUGCUGAUGCAUCAGCUGCCGCGCAGCACGCUGCAGACUGUUUUUUGGGUACGCGUCUGCGGGCCGUUGGUUUUUGUAUGCCAUGCUUAGACGAUUCGGUGUGCAUGCGUAUGUGUACAUGCGUCUGUCGAUGUAGAGGAAGCGGCGCCCCCUCGAUUGCUCUGUGCGCGUUGUGAUGACACUCUCUCUUGCGUGGCGGUAGCGGCGUUGGGAGGAGAACGCAUAGCGACUUUGACACCCCUGCGGUGGGACCCGCCAGGUGUGUUAAGCGUGGUGCAUGUGUGCUAGUAUGCGGGUAUGUGUGUGCGCGUCGGUCUUUCGCCGCCUUUCUCUCGACUUUCCUGCAUGAUCGCGUUCUCCAUCUCCGCCACACCGACCAUCUCUUGCCAGCUCCCUGCACCUCUUGCCUCCGUCUUCAGCCUCCGAUGGAGAACACAAGGAUACGGCGAUGGGGGAGUAGGCACGGUAGGGAAAGGGCUAUCGCGUCCCUUGUCAAGGCCCACCUGACGCGACAAAACACCCACAGCAACGAGACGGACGAAACAAACCCAACCUGCUG